RNAcentral lists this unclassified non-coding RNA (233 nucleotides) under uncultured fungus. RNAcentral describes it as "sequence contains ITS1". The record is from RNAcentral. Lineage: Eukaryota; Fungi.
GUAUUGAUUGCGUGUGAUCGCAAAUAAAAUAAAAGACAUUCUACACUGCAUCAAUGUUUGUGUGAAAACGCAAGCCCCCCUCCGAACAAGCCGAAAGGGGACCCACGCGGUGGUGCACAUAGGGGUGAGAUGGAUGUUUGAGAACGCUCGGGCGUGCACGACGAAAAAGUCAGCGACAGCCCUCGCGCCUCGGUUUUACGAUAAUGAUCCUUCCGCAGGUUCACCUACGGAAA